CCAAUAGUUAUCGUUCUCCCCAAUUUAAAAAAUUUGGCGGCCCUUUAGUCUUAUCCAAGGAACCUGUUUACUAAUUGACCUCCACGAUUAAGCUUACUCCUCUAAAUCAAUGCACACACCCCCCCCAUGAAUAUUCUAACAAAUUUAUUUCCUUUUCUUAUUUUUAUAAUUUAUGUUAAGCCAAGAUGUGGUUUAUAAAUAAGAUAAUAUGGGUUACCUUAAAUUUUAUUUUUGGAUUUUAAAUGAAAAUUGAAAUGAAAUUGGAUUUAAUAAUAAAUUUAUUUAUUUAAUUAAUAUGAAUAAAGAUCUAAAAUAUGUACCUAUUGCCCCUCCUUCCUAUUAAAAAUAAAACCAGUCGUAACAAGUAAAUGUACUGGAAAGUGUAUUUAGAAAGAUUAAUUUUAAAAA
This 408-nucleotide ribosomal RNA is filed under the name Cryptosiphum artemisiae. RNAcentral describes it as "partial 12S small subunit ribosomal RNA". The record is from RNAcentral. Lineage: Eukaryota; Metazoa; Arthropoda; Insecta; Hemiptera; Aphididae.